UACGGAGGAUCCGAGCGUUAUCCGGAUUUAUUGGGUUUAAAGGGUGCGUAGGCGGGAUAAUAAGUCAGUGGUGAAAGUUUGCAGCUUAACUGUAAAAUUGCCGUUGAAACUGUUAUUCUUGAGAGUAGAUAAGGUAGGCGGAAUGUGUUGUGUAGCGGUGAAAUGCAUAGAUAUAACACAGAACCCCGAUUGCGAAGGCAGCUUACCGGGCUACAUCUGACGCUGAUGCACGAAAGCGUGGGGAUCAAACAGGAUUAGAUACCCUGGUAGUCCACGCAGUAAACGAUGAAUACUAGCUGUAUGCGAUAUACUGUAUGUGGCAAAGCGAAAGCAUUAAGUAUUCCACCUGGGGAGUACGUUCGCAAGAAUGAA
This 372-nucleotide ribosomal RNA is filed under the name uncultured bacterium. RNAcentral describes it as "bacterial SSU rRNA". It matches the Rfam family "Bacterial small subunit ribosomal RNA", at positions 524 to 898 of the family's 1533-position model. The record is from RNAcentral.